This 497-nucleotide ribosomal RNA is filed under the name uncultured bacterium. RNAcentral describes it as "partial 16S ribosomal RNA". It matches the Rfam family "Bacterial small subunit ribosomal RNA", at positions 28 to 507 of the family's 1533-position model. The record is from RNAcentral.
GAUGAACGCUGGCGGCGUGCCUAAUACAUGCAAGUCGAGCGAACAGGCGAGGCGCUUGCUGGGCGGACGUGAGCGGCGGACGGGUGAGUCACGCGUGGAUAACGUACUUAAAAGACGGGGAUAACUUCGGGAAACCGGCGCUAAUACCGGAUAAGAUAUUGAACCGCAUGGGGCGAUGGUGAGAGACGGUGUUGCGGGCACGUAUAGAUGGAUACCCGCCGGAUGAGCUGGUUGGGAAGGUAACGGCUUACCAAGGCAACGAUGCGUAGCCGAGGUGAGAGAGUGAUAGCCGACAUUGGAGCUGAGACACGGUCAAGACUCCUACGAGACGCACCAGUAGCGAACCGGCCGCAGUGGGCGAAAGCUUGACGGAGCAACGCCGCGCCAGUGACGAAGGUCCUCGGUUCGUAAAACCCUCUUAUUAGGGAAGAACCACUGUGUAAGUAACCGAGCACGUCUUGACGGUACCUAGUAAGAAAGCCACGGCUAACUACGUG